AUACAAUGAUGUGGACAUCUCGUUAGGAGUUCCUUGUAUCUUUCCCAAGCUUUGUAAAGUGAUUCUCCUUCCUGUUGCACAAAAGAUGUAAUUUCUCCUCUCAACUU
Small nucleolar RNA from Abrus precatorius (Indian licorice), 107 nucleotides. The record is from RefSeq and is a predicted model, not a curated record. Lineage: Eukaryota; Viridiplantae; Streptophyta; Magnoliopsida; Fabales; Fabaceae.